UACGAAGGGGGCUAGCGUUGUUCGGAAUUACUGGGCGUAAAGCGCGCGUAGGCGGACCUGCAAGUCGGGGGUGAAAGCCCGAGGCUCAACCUCGGAACUGCCUUCGAUACUGCGGGUCUCGAGUCCGGGAGAGGUGAGUGGAAUUCCUAGUGUAGAGGUGAAAUUCGUAGAUAUUAGGAAGAACACCAGUGGCGAAGGCGGCUCACUGGCCCGGUACUGACGCUGAGGCGCGAAAGCGUGGGGAUCAAACAGG
Molecule: ribosomal RNA, 253 nt
Filed under: uncultured bacterium
Lineage: Bacteria
Description: partial 16S ribosomal RNA
Rfam family: Bacterial small subunit ribosomal RNA
Source: RNAcentral